UGGGGAAUAUUGCACAAUGGAGGGAACUCUGAUGCAGCGACGCCGCGUGAACGAAGAAGGCUUUCGAGUCGUAAAGUUCUUUUAUAUGGGAAGAUAAUGACGGUACCAUAAGAAAAAGCCCCGGCUAACUACGUGCCAGCAGCCGCGGUAAUACGUAGGGGGCUAGCGUUGUCCGGAAUCACUGGGCGUAAAGGGUUCGCAGGCGGAAAUGCAAGUCAGGUGUAAAAGGCAGUAGCUUAACUACUGUAAGGAUUUGAAACUGCAUAUCUUGAGAAGAGUAGAGGUAAGUGGAAUUUUUAGUGUAGCGGUGAAAUGCGUAGAUAUUAAAAAGAAUACCGGUGGCGAAGGCGACUUACUGGGCUCAUUCUGACGCUGAGGAACGAAAGCGUGGGUAGCAAACAGG
Molecule: ribosomal RNA, 403 nt
Filed under: Fusobacteriota bacterium
Lineage: Bacteria; Fusobacteriati; Fusobacteriota
Description: Fusobacteria bacterium partial 16S ribosomal RNA
Rfam family: Bacterial small subunit ribosomal RNA
Source: RNAcentral